GCCCCGGUAGCUCAGUGGCAGAGCGGCAGCCUUGUAAGCUGUUGAUCGCGGGUUCGAAUCCCGCCCGGGGCU
Molecule: transfer RNA, 72 nt
Filed under: Candidatus Bathyarchaeota archaeon
Lineage: Archaea; Thermoproteati; Candidatus Bathyarchaeota
Also listed under: 1 other name
Description: tRNA-Thr
Rfam family: tRNA
About the family: Transfer RNA (tRNA) molecules are approximately 80 nucleotides in length. Their secondary structure includes four short double-helical elements and three loops (D, anti-codon, and T loops). Further hydrogen bonds mediate the characteristic L-shaped molecular structure. tRNAs have two regions of fundamental functional importance: the anti-codon, which is responsible for specific mRNA codon recognition, and the 3' end, to which the tRNAs corresponding amino acid is attached (by aminoacyl-tRNA synthetases). tRNAs cope with the degeneracy of the genetic code in two manners: having more than one tRNA (with a specific anti-codon) for a particular amino acid; and 'wobble' base-pairing, i.e. permitting non-standard base-pairing at the 3rd anti-codon position.
Source: RNAcentral